This 639-nucleotide ribosomal RNA is filed under the name uncultured actinomycete. RNAcentral describes it as "bacterial SSU rRNA". It matches the Rfam family "Bacterial small subunit ribosomal RNA", at positions 232 to 885 of the family's 1533-position model. Lineage: Bacteria; Bacillati; Actinomycetota; Actinomycetes; Actinomycetales. The record is from RNAcentral.
CACGGCCUAUCAGCUUGUUGGUGAGGUAAUGGCUCACCAAGGCAUCGACGGGUAGCUGGUCUGAGAGGAUGAUCAGCCACACUGGGACUGAGACACGGCCCAGACUCCUACGGGAGGCAGCAGUGGGGAAUCUUGCACAAUGGGCGAAAGCCUGAUGCAGCAACGCCGCGUGCGGGAAGACGGCCUUCGGGUUGUAAACCGCUUUCAGCAGGGAAGAAAAUGACGGUACCUGCAGAAGAAGGUGCGGCCAACUACGUGCCAGCAGCCGCGGUGACACGUAGGCACCAAGCGUUGUCCGGAUUUAUUGGGCGUAAAGAGCUCGUAGGCGGUUCAGUAAGUCGGGUGUGAAAACUCUGGGCUCAACCCAGAGAGGCCACCCGAUACUGCUGUGACUCGAGUACGGUAGGGGAGCGGGGAAUUCCUGGUGUAGCGGUGAAAUGCGCAGAUAUCAGGAGGAACACCAGUGGCGAAGGCGCCGCUCUGGGCCGUAACUGACGCUGAGGAGCGAAAGCAUGGGUAGCAAACAGGAUUAGAUACCCUGGUAGUCCAUGCCGUAAACGUUGGGCACUAGGUGUGGGUUCCAACCAACGGGAUCCGCGCCGUCGCUAACGCAUUAAGUGCCCCGCCUGGGGAGUACGG